RNAcentral lists this ribosomal RNA (252 nucleotides) under uncultured bacterium. Its description in RNAcentral is "partial 16S ribosomal RNA". It matches the Rfam family "Bacterial small subunit ribosomal RNA", at positions 525 to 776 of the family's 1533-position model. The record is from RNAcentral.
ACGUAGGAGGCGAGCGUUGUCCGGAUUCAUUGGGCGUAAAGAGCUCGUAGGCGGUUUGUCGCGUCUGCCGUGAAAGUCCGGGGCUCAACUCCGGAUCUGCGGUGGGUACGGGCAGACUAGAGUGAUGUAGGGGAGACUGGAAUUCCUGGUGUAGCGGUGAAAUGCGCAGAUAUCAGGAGGAACACCGGUGGCGAAGGCGGGUCUCUGGGCCGAUACUGACGCUGAGGAGCGAAAGCGUGGGGAGCGAACAGG